Felis catus (domestic cat) is the source of this 1997-nucleotide RNA transcript. RefSeq lists it as uncharacterized. The record is from RefSeq and is a predicted model, not a curated record. Lineage: Eukaryota; Metazoa; Chordata; Mammalia; Carnivora; Felidae. The transcript has 4 exons.
UGUGACAUUCGUGGCAUCCUUUCAGUGCUCUCAGUCGCCUGCUCCCUUAGCAUUCUGUCACUUCACCUUGCAAAGCUGCAGUAAUGGAGCACGACAGCCCCUGGCAUACUACAUGGCUGCACCUGACCCCUCAGGACUGCUGGGGGAAAAAGCAUACAGAUGGAAAGCUCAAGGAGGGAAAUAAUUUAAGAGGAGAUUUAUGGUACUGAGAACAUUUAACAUGAUUGCUUUUCUGAGUCAAGACACAGCGCUCAGCCUCCCGGGAGCUCUGCUACAGAGAACACACAACCAGCCUCCAUUGUCACUAAUACCUCCAUUCGGCCCCACCAGCCCAUCAAACGCAACCCUCCGAUGGGGACUGUUCCAGAAAACUGGACGACAUCUGAAGAACUCUUCCUUGGCCAUCAGCUCCAGACCCCCGCCACUGUCCAGAACCCACUCGGGACCACCCUGUAGAAGAGCCAAGCGGUACUCGGAGAUCUUGGAAGGCAGGAGGCUACCCAGGGUACACUGAAGAAAUUAUAAACCUAAACCAGAAGGACAGCAGAGGCCACAGAGGAGGAAUCCAGAAAGCCAGUGCUGAGACCCUUUCUGUCACAGAAACAUCCCCGCGGGAAGGCGUCCUGGUUCAAGUCCCAAGUCUUACACCUGCUACCUCUGUGAUGUGGGGCAGAUCAACUCAGUUCUUGGCACCCCAUUUUCUUCAGCUGUAAAACAGGACGUGACUUGGCAAGUGUUCGUGUGGUAGCUACGAUGUGCCAGGUAUUAUUGCGGCUGCACAUGCAACAGCCAAAGAGUUCCUUACCCACAUGAAGUGUAUUUCUGAGCAAGAGGGGACAGGCAACAAUAACUGAUGUGAAACAGAGGGUAGGUCAUAAGGUAAAAAGCAGCAGAGAGAAAAAUAAGGCAGGGAGAAGGUAACCAGAGAGUAGGUGACCUGACAAUGUGGAAAAGGGCAUAAAUGAAGGAACAGGUGGAUGAUUGGGGGUGAGGGUUAGGGAUCGAUGGUCUGGACAGAGGACACAGCCCACGAAAAGGCACCAGAGCAUGGCGUGUUCUAGAAGUGGGAAGAUGCUCUGUGUAGCCAGAGUACAGGGAGCAAGGAGGAGACUUGAAAGGGAUGAAGUCAGAGGCAGGGGGCCAAAUUUUAUAAUGACUCACAGGCCAUUGAAAGGACUCUGGUGUUUGCUCUGGAGCUAGACAGGAAGUUGCUAGAAGAAAGUGAUGUGAUGGAGUUCACAUUUAAAAGGACCACUCCGCUCACUGUUUUGAGAACCUGAGGUUUCACUCGAGAAGGGCACGGGUUCCAGUUCGGAGGCAAUAUAGCGAUCCAGGCAGGACGGUGGAUAUGUGCCUUUUCUACCCCACCCGUGUGUUAGGAUUUAAGGUGUGUAAAGAUAAGUUUCAAAACACUGCAUGUAUUUAAGGCUUAUUACUGUUGCCAUCUUAUGGCCUUUGCACUAGAAACACGCUAGCAGGAAAAAACACAGCCAACAAAGAGUUUUGUAUUAUGAGCUUGAGGGUGAGGAAGAAGAUGUCAAACAAUCAACCCUAGAUUGGUAUCAUAUUUAGAGCCUGUUUAAUGGCCCACUGGAGACGGCAGACAGGGCACAUCCCAACUUUUCUCGCUUCGUGUGACUCAAGAAACUAAUUUCUGGAAAAAAAAUAAUAUCCUCUCCUUUCCUCAACAGGACAACACAUUCCACAUCAAUCUGUCAAACGCAAACACACACACACACACACACACACAACCUUGCUUUAAUAACUGUCGAACACUGUCAGCGAAAAUAUCACCAGGCAUCAUUGACUUAGGUGUAAGUUAGAUGAAGUUCUAAGAUACAGCUUUAACACUCAACUAUUAAUAAUCAAAGAGAUUCUAAUUAAAGAGAUACCAUUUUCACCCAUCAGACCCAGGUCUUUGUACCUUGGUCGAAACCCACAGAGUGUAAAACACCAAGAGUGAACCCCAAUGUAAACUGUGGACUUUGGGUGAUUAU